GAACCUGAAACCUUGUGCCUACAAGCACAUAGAGCCCGUCAAAGGGUGAUAUGGUACUUUUUGUAGAACGGUCCGGCGAGCGAUUGUACGUUGCGAGCUUAAGGUCUUAAGGACUGGAGGCGUAGCGAGAGCGAGUCUAAACAGGGCGCUUAGUAGCGUGCAAUGGGCCCGAAACCGGGUGACCUACCCAUGAUCAGGCUGAAGUGAAAGUAAAAUUUCAUGGAGGGCCGAACCGACCUCCUUUGAAAAGGCGGCGGAUGAAUUGUGGGUAGCGGGGAAAUUCCAAUCGAACUCGGAGAUAGCUGGUUCCCCCCGAAAUAGCUUUAGGGCUAGCCUCAUGUUAGGUAUCCGGAGGUAAAGCACUGAAUGGCCUAGCGUCCGAGAGGAUAGCGAAGCCUAUCAAACUAAGAAUGCCGGAAUAUUGAUGCAUGGGAGUCAGACAGUGUGAGAUAAAUCUCAUUGUCAAAAGGGAAACAGCCCAGAUCUACAGCUAAGGUCCCAAAUUGUAUCUAAGUGGAAAACGAUGUGGAAAUACGCAGACAACCAGGAUGUUGGCUCAGAAGCAGCCACUCAUUUAAAGAGUGCGUAAUAGCUCACUGGUCGAGCGUCUCUGCGCGGAAAAUUUAACGGGGCUAAGAUACAAACCGAAGCUUAGGCUGCACUUUUAGUGCGGAGUAGGGGAGCGUUGUGUAAGCGGAGAAACAGUAGCGGAAGCGGCUGUGGAGUUUACAGAAGUGAGAAUGCCGGAAUGAGUAGCGCGAAUGAUGUGAGAAUCAUCAUGGCCGGAAACCUCAGGUUUUUGGAGGAAGGUUCGUCCGCUCCAAGUUAGGCGGGAGCUAAGGUGAGGCCGAAAGGCGUAGCCGAUGCACAGACGGUAGAGAUUCCGUCCCCACCGAAAGAUUUAAGCGCAGGGACACUUUUAGAAGGUCGGAGCCAGGUGUUGGUUCUGGUAGGGAUCGAGGGAAAUUUAGUACCGAAGUCCGGCUGGAUAAGAGGCGAGAAAAGCUGCGUGUAUAUCUAAGUUGCCCGUACCGCAAACCGACACAGGUAGGUAGGAAGAAGAUUCUAAGGCCAACGGGAGAAGGGUUGUUAAGGAACUCGGCAAGUUGACCCCGUAACUUCGGAAUAAGGGGUGCUCAUGAAAGUGAGCCGCAGAGAAUAGGCCCAGGCAACUGUUUACUAAAAACACAGGUUUGUGCUAAAUCGAAAGAUGACGUAUACGAGCUGACGCCUGCCCGGUGCUGGAAGGUUAAAAGGAGAUGUGCAAGCAUUGAAUUGAAGCCCCAGUGAACGGCGGCCGUAACAAUAACGGUCCUAAGGUAGCGAAAUUCCUUGUCAGGUAAGUUCUGACCCGCAUGAAAGGCGUAAUGAUCUGGGCACUGUCUCAACAGCCCGCCCGGCGAAAUUGUAGUACCGGUGAAGAUGCCGGUUACCCGCGACAAGACGGAAAGACCCCAUGGAGCUUUACUGUAGCCUAAUAUUGGGUUUCGGUGUUGCAUGCACAGGAUAGAUGGGACGCUAGGAAGUGAGUGCUUUGGCAUUCAUGGAGCGGCCGUUGGGAUACCAUCCUUGCGACAUUGGAAUUG
RNAcentral lists this ribosomal RNA (1586 nucleotides) under metagenome. Its description in RNAcentral is "bacterial LSU rRNA". It matches the Rfam family "Bacterial large subunit ribosomal RNA", at positions 546 to 2222 of the family's 2925-position model. The record is from RNAcentral.